UGAAGUCGAUUUCACGCGCCGCCAGCCAGU
Molecule: small RNA, 30 nt
Filed under: Bombyx mori (domestic silkworm)
Lineage: Eukaryota; Metazoa; Arthropoda; Insecta; Lepidoptera; Bombycidae
Description: piRNA piR-bmo-2027311
Source: RNAcentral